GACGAACGCUGGCGGCGUGCUUAACACAUGCAAGUCGAACGGAAAGGCCCUGCUUGUGUGUGGUGCUCGAGUGGCGAACGGGUGAGUAACACGUGAAUAACCUGCGCUUGACUUUGUGAUAUCUUCAGGAAACUGCGGCUAAUACCGGCUAGCAGCUCCUGCUGCAUGGUGGGCGUUGGAAAGUUUCGGCGGUUGGGGAUGGACUCGCGGCUUAUCAGCUUGUUGGUGGGGUAGUGGCUUACCAAGGCUUCGACGGGUAGCCGGCACGGGAGGGUGAACGGCCACAUUGCGACUGAGGUACGGCCCAGUCUGCUACGGGGGGCAGCAGGGGAGAAUAUUGUACAAUGGGCGGAAGCCUGAUGCAGAAACGCCCCGUGCGGGAAGAAGGCCUUCGGGUUGUGAACCGCUUUAGCCUGUUACCAAGCGUUAGUGACGGUAAUAAGUGAAGAAGCACCGGCUAACUACGUG
RNAcentral lists this ribosomal RNA (468 nucleotides) under uncultured bacterium. Its description in RNAcentral is "partial 16S ribosomal RNA". It matches the Rfam family "Bacterial small subunit ribosomal RNA", at positions 28 to 507 of the family's 1533-position model. The record is from RNAcentral.